RNAcentral lists this small RNA (27 nucleotides) under Bombyx mori (domestic silkworm). RNAcentral describes it as "ovarian small RNA-2955". The record is from RNAcentral. Lineage: Eukaryota; Metazoa; Arthropoda; Insecta; Lepidoptera; Bombycidae.
UACCGACGGGACCUUCGCGGCGGCGGC